RNAcentral lists this unclassified non-coding RNA (240 nucleotides) under soil metagenome. RNAcentral's name for it is "partial contains 5.8S ribosomal RNA, internal transcribed spacer 2, and large subunit ribosomal RNA". The record is from RNAcentral.
AACCAUAGAAACCUGCGGAGUACCUGCGGAAGGAUCAUUACCGAGUGCGGGUCCCCUCGCGGGGCCCAACCUCCCACCCGUGUCUACCGUCACCUGUUGCUUCGGCGGGCCCGCCUUCGUGCCGCCGGGGGGCCCUCUGCGCCCCCGGGCCCGCGCCCGCCGAAGACUCUAGGAGCACUGAAUGAAGGAUGCCGUCUGAGUCAAACGACACAAUCGUUAAAACUUUCAACAACGGAUCUC